CCUAACACAUGCAAGUCGAACGGUAACAGGAAACGGCUUGCUGUUUCGCUGACGAGUGGCGGACGGGUGAGUAAUGUCUGGGAAACUGCCUGAUGGAGGGGGAUAACUACUGGAAACGGUAGCUAAUACCGCAUAACGUCGCAAGACCAAAGAGGGGGACCUUCGGGCCUCUUGCCAUCAGAUGUGCCCAGAUGGGAUUAGCUAGUAGGUGGGGUAACGGCUCACCUAGGCGACGAUCCCUAGCUGGUCUGAGAGGAUGACCAGCCACACUGGAACUGAGACACGGUCCAGACUCCUACGGGAGGCAGCAGUGGGGAAUAUUGCACAAUGGGCGCAAGCCUGAUGCAGCCAUGCCGCGUGUAUGAAGAAGACCUUCGGGUUGUAAAGAC
RNAcentral lists this ribosomal RNA (389 nucleotides) under uncultured bacterium. Its description in RNAcentral is "bacterial SSU rRNA". It matches the Rfam family "Bacterial small subunit ribosomal RNA", at positions 47 to 433 of the family's 1533-position model. The record is from RNAcentral.